GUGUGUAAGUUGUUUGUGCAUUCUUAACCCCGAAGUGCAUAACUUUGCAUUUCUCUAUGUUAAAUUUCAUCUGCCAUUUUAGUGCCCAGUCCCCCAAUCUAUCCAAAUCUCUCUGCAGCAAAGCAAUAUUCUGCUCACAUUUUAUUACUUUACAAAGUUUUGUGUCAUCUACAAACACUGAUACAUGGCUUUCAAUGCCUAUUUCAAGAUCAUUUAUAAAUAUAUUAAAUAGAAGUGGUCCCAAAACAGAACCCUGAGGGACACCACUUACCACUUUUGUCCAGCCUGAAAAUUUACCAUUAAUUACAACUCAUUGUACUCUAUCCUUAAGCCAAUGUUCUACCCAAGAACAAGAAUAUUCAUCUAGACCAAUUUCUUUUAGUUUGAAGACUAACCUAUUGUGAGGAACCGUAUCAAA
RNAcentral lists this long non-coding RNA (418 nucleotides) under Pelobates cultripes (western spadefoot toad). Lineage: Eukaryota; Metazoa; Chordata; Amphibia; Anura; Pelobatidae. The record is from RNAcentral.